UUGCUCCCCCGCUUGGACUCGAACCAAGAACCCUCCGGUUAACAGCCGAAUGCUCUGCCAGUUGAGCUACAGGGGA
Molecule: transfer RNA, 76 nt
Filed under: Amycolatopsis mediterranei U32
Lineage: Bacteria; Bacillati; Actinomycetota; Actinomycetes; Pseudonocardiales; Pseudonocardiaceae
Description: tRNA-Asn
Source: RNAcentral